Molecule: microRNA precursor, 132 nt
Filed under: Glycine max (soybean)
Lineage: Eukaryota; Viridiplantae; Streptophyta; Magnoliopsida; Fabales; Fabaceae
Description: miR10448 stem-loop (gma-MIR10448)
Source: miRBase by way of RNAcentral
AAGAAGAAUUUUAGGCUUUGUGGGACGUGAUUUGGAUAAGAAAUGAGUAAGUUAUGGCAGAAAGAAAAUUUGGGAAUGAGGGUUUCGCGAGAGAGACGAAGUUGCAGUUUCAUCAAUUCUGAAAUUUGUAUU